AGAGUNNNNUCCUGGCUCAGAUUGAACGCUGGCGGCAGGCUUAACACAUGCAAGUCGAGCGGUAGCACAAGGGAGCUUGCUNCCUGGGUGACGAGCGGCGGACGGGUGAGUAAUGUCUGGGAAACUGCCUGAUGGAGGGGGAUAACUACUGGAAACGGUAGCUAAUACCGCAUAACGUCGCAAGACCAAAGAGGGGGACCUUCGGGCCUCUUGCCAUCAGAUGUGCCCAGAUGGGAUUAGCUAGUAGGUGGGGUAAUGGCUCACCUAGGCGACGAUCCCUAGCUGGUCUGAGAGGAUGACCAGCCACACUGGAACUGAGACACGGUCCAGACUCCUACGGGAGGCAGCAGUGGGGAAUAUUGCACAAUGGGCGCAAGCCUGAUGCAGCCAUGCCGCGUGUGUGAAGAAGGCCUUCGGGUUGUAAAGCACUUUCAGCGAGGAGGAAGGUGGUGAACUUAAUACGUUCAUCAAUUGACGUUACUCGCAGAAGAAGCACCGGCUAACUCCGUGCCAGCAGCCGCGGUAAUACGGAGGGUGCAAGCGUUAAUCGGAAUUACUGGGCGUAAAGCGCACGCAGGCGGUUUGUUAAGUCAGAUGUGAAAUCCCCGGGCUCAACCUGGGAACUGCAUUUGAAACUGGCAAGCUAGAGUCUCGUAGAGGGGGGUAGAAUUCCAGGUGUAGCGGUGAAAUGCGUAGAGAUCUGGAGGAAUACCGGUGGCGAAGGCGGCCCCCNGGACGAAGAC
Molecule: ribosomal RNA, 743 nt
Filed under: Serratia nematodiphila
Lineage: Bacteria; Pseudomonadati; Pseudomonadota; Gammaproteobacteria; Enterobacterales; Yersiniaceae
Description: bacterial SSU rRNA
Rfam family: Bacterial small subunit ribosomal RNA
Source: RNAcentral